GUUUAAUUUUGCAAUGAAAAUGCACUGUUUUUUUAUUAAACUAUAUUAAACAGAAAUUUAAACAAUAUGUU
RNAcentral lists this transfer RNA (71 nucleotides) under Scarelus cibodasensis. RNAcentral describes it as "tRNA-Glu". Lineage: Eukaryota; Metazoa; Arthropoda; Insecta; Coleoptera; Lycidae. The record is from RNAcentral.